This 468-nucleotide ribosomal RNA is filed under the name uncultured bacterium. RNAcentral's name for it is "partial 16S ribosomal RNA". It matches the Rfam family "Bacterial small subunit ribosomal RNA", at positions 28 to 507 of the family's 1533-position model. The record is from RNAcentral.
GAUGAACGCUGGCGGCGUGCUUAACACAUGCAAGUCGAACGGAAAGGCCAGUGCUUGCACUGGUACUCGAGUGGCGAACGGGUGAGUAACACGUGGGUGAUCUGCCCUGCACUUCGGGAUAAGCCUUGGAAACUGGGUCUAAUACCGGAUAGGACAAUGGUUUGGAUGCCGUUGUGGAAAGUUUUUUCGGUGUGGGAUGAGCUCGCGGCCUAUCAGCUUGUUGGUGGGGUAAUGGCCUACCAAGGCGUCGACGGGUAGCCGGCCUGAGAGGGUGUACGGCCACAUUGGGACUGAGAUACGGCCCAGACUCCUACGGGAGGCAGCAGUGGGGAAUAUUGCACAAUGGGCGCGAGCCUGAUGCAGCGACGCCGCGUGGGGGAUGACGGCCUUCGGGUUGUAAACUCCUUUCGCUAGGGAAGAAGCGUAUUUGUGACGGUACCUGGAGAAGAAGCACCGGCUAACUACGUG